GGUUAAGCGACUAAGCGUACACGGUGGAUGCCCUGGCAGUCAGAGGCGAUGAAGGACGUGCUAAUCUGCGAUAAGCGUCGGUAAGGUGAUAUGAACCGUUAUAACCGGCGAUUUCCGAAUGGGGAAACCCAGUGUGUUUCGACACACUAUCAUUAACUGAAUCCAUAGGUUAAUGAGGCGAACCGGGGGAACUGAAACAUCUAAGUACCCCGAGGAAAAGAAAUCAACCGAGAUUCCCCCAGUAGCGGCGAGCGAACGGGGAGGAGCCCAGAGCCUGAAUCAGUGUGUGUGUUAGUGGAAGCGUCUGGAAAGGCGCGCGAUACAGGGUGACAGCCCCGUACACAAAAAUGCACAUGCUGUGAGCUCGAUGAGUAGGGCGGGACACGUGGUAUCCUGUCUGAAUAUGGGGGGACCAUCCUCCAAGGCUAAAUACUCCUGACUGACCGAUAGUGAACCAGUACCGUGAGGGAAAGGCGAAAAGAACCCCGGCGAGGGGAGUGAAAAAGAACCUGAAACCGUGUACGUACAAGCAGUGGGAGCACGCUUAGGCGUGUGACUGCGUACCUUUUGUAUAAUGGGUCAGCGACUUAUAUUCUGUAGCAAGGUUAACCGAAUAGGGGAGCCGAAGGGAAACCGAGUCUUAACUGGGCGUUAAGUUGCAGGGUAUAGACCCGAAACCCGGUGAUCUAGCCAUGGGCAGGUUGAAGGUUGGGUAACACUAACUGGAGGACCGAACCGACUAAUGUUGAAAAAUUAGCGGAUGACUUGUGGCUGGGGGUGAAAGGCCAAUCAAACCGGGAGAUAGCUGGUUCUCCCCGAAAGCUAUUUAGGUAGCGCCUCGUGAAUUCAUCUCCGGGGGUAGAGCACUGUUUCGGCAAGGGGGUCAUCCCGACUUACCAACCCGAUGCAAACUGCGAAUACCGGAGAAUGUUAUCACGGGAGACACACGGCGGGUGCUAACGUCCGUCGUGAAGAGGGAAACAACCCAGACCGCCAGCUAAGGUCCCAAAGUCAUGGUUAAGUGGGAAACGAUGUGGGAAGGCCCAGACAGCCAGGAUGUUGGCUUAGAAGCAGCCAUCAUUUAAAGAAAGCGUAAUAGCUCACUGGUCGAGUCGGCCUGCGCGGAAGAUGUAACGGGGCUAAACCAUGCACCGAAGCUGCGGCAGCGACGCUUAUGCGUUGUUGGGUAGGGGAGCGUUCUGUAAGCCUGUGAAGGUGUGCUGUGAGGCAUGCUGGAGGUAUCAGAAGUGCGAAUGCUGACAUAAGUAACGAUAAAGCGGGUGAAAAGCCCGCUCGCCGGAAGACCAAGGGUUCCUGUCCAACGUUAAUCGGGGCAGGGUGAGUCGACCCCUAAGGCGAGGCCGAAAGGCGUAGUCGAUGGGAAACAGGUUAAUAUUCCUGUACUUGGUGUUACUGCGAAGGGGGGACGGAGAAGGCUAUGUUGGCCGGGCGACGGUUGUCCCGGUUUAAGCGUGUAGGCUGGUUUUCCAGGCAAAUCCGGAAAAUCAAGGCUGAGGCGUGAUGACGAGGCACUACGGUGCUGAAGCAACAAAUGCCCUGCUUCCAGGAAAAGCCUCUAAGCAUCAGGUAACAUCAAAUCGUACCCCAAACCGACACAGGUGGUCAGGUAGAGAAUACCAAGGCGCUUGAGAGAACUCGGGUGAAGGAACUAGGCAAAAUGGUGCCGUAACUUCGGGAGAAGGCACGCUGAUAUGUAGGUGAAGCGACUUGCUCGUGGAGCUGAAAUCAGUCGAAGAUACCAGCUGGCUGCAACUGUUUAUUAAAAACACAGCACUGUGCAAACACGAAAGUGGACGUAUACGGUGUGACGCCUGCCCGGUGCCGGAAGGUUAAUUGAUGGGGU
RNAcentral lists this ribosomal RNA (1864 nucleotides) under Escherichia coli. Its description in RNAcentral is "partial 23S ribosomal RNA". It matches the Rfam family "Bacterial large subunit ribosomal RNA", at positions 1 to 1890 of the family's 2925-position model. Lineage: Bacteria; Pseudomonadati; Pseudomonadota; Gammaproteobacteria; Enterobacterales; Enterobacteriaceae. The record is from RNAcentral.